Long non-coding RNA from Mauremys reevesii (Reeves's turtle), 420 nucleotides. RefSeq lists it as uncharacterized. NCBI's taxonomy places the organism in Eukaryota, Metazoa, Chordata, Testudines, Geoemydidae. The record is from RefSeq and is a predicted model, not a curated record. The transcript has 3 exons.
UAGAGUCUCAUUCAUCAAUGAAACUGCCCUUCAUUGGCAGAACCCCUGAAGGGCAGAAGCAAUUUGUAGCCUUUACGAUGGCCGUAUCUACCUGUACCCGCUGGGGGGAGUCUCGUCCCAUUGUUACUUCAAGAUAUUGAUGUUAAAGUAAUCAUACACUGUGGAAAAGACUGAGGACUGCCCAUGCAUGGAUGUGCUGGGGGAAGACUCCAAGGAACCCCUCUGUACUUCCUGAACCUCUCAGCAAGAGCCUGGCACAAUGUGUUAACAAACUGAAGGGGAAGGGGAAACAUUCCCCGGCUGGGAAGUUGUUGCAUCCUGAGACUCAGAGGACAUAUACUUUGGGUAGAGAGAGAAGGAUUUCAUCAUGUUCCCCACAUUUGCUGAAAGACUGUUACUCUCGUACUUACUGCACUGAGA